RNAcentral lists this ribosomal RNA (405 nucleotides) under uncultured bacterium. RNAcentral describes it as "partial 16S ribosomal RNA". It matches the Rfam family "Bacterial small subunit ribosomal RNA", at positions 28 to 526 of the family's 1533-position model. The record is from RNAcentral.
GACGAACGCUGGCGGCGUGCUUAACACAUGCAAGUCGAACGAGUGGCGAACAGGUGAGUAACACGUGGGUGACCUGCCCUGCACUUCGGGAUUAGCAUGGGAAACUGGGUCUAAUACCGGAUAGUGUGGUAUGGGGCCCCGGCCUAUCAGCUUGUUGGUGGGGUAAAGGUGACCUCGUCGCGAUCCAUAGCUGGUCGGAGAGGAUGAUCAGCCACACGGGGACUGAGACACGGCCCAGACUCCUACGGGAGGCAGCAGUGGGGAAUAUUGCACAAUGGGCGCAAGCCUGAUACAGCCAUGCCGCGUGUAUGAAGAAGGCCUUCGGGUUGUAAAGUACUUUCAGCGGGGAGGCGUUACCCGCAGAAGAAGCACCGGCUAACUCCGUGCCAGCAGCCGCGGUAAUAC